AAAAGGGGUUAAAGCCAUUUAGUAGAUAUUCCCCUUCCAGAUAUACAGGCAGCUACCAAAGACACCAAUCCACCGAACAGGAAACCAUAUGAAUGCCGUAAACAGCCGAAUAGGAAAAACCAUACGAAUAGGUUUACACUCCUAGCAGUCGAACUGGAACAGCAUACUAUAAAUCCCCCCAAGAACGAGACAAGGCUCCGUUUUGUGGGUCAAGCAGGAACAGACAGAGCUGUGUUUUUAUUGUUCUUAUAUAUACAUUCUUACACAUUAGUACCAUCCACAGGGUUUUGUGGCACAUCCAAU
Pelobates cultripes (western spadefoot toad) is the source of this 303-nucleotide non-coding RNA. NCBI's taxonomy places the organism in Eukaryota, Metazoa, Chordata, Amphibia, Anura, Pelobatidae. The record is from the annotation of a GenBank genome assembly.